UAGGUCCCGAGCGUUNUCCGGAUUAUUGGGCGUAAAGGGAGCGCAGGCGGUCAGGAAANUCUGGAGUAAAAGGCUAUGGCUCAACCAUAGUGUGCUCUGGAAACUGUCUGACUUGAGUGCAGAAGGGGAGAGUGGAAUUCCAUGUGUAGCGGUGAAAUGCGUAGAUAUAUGGAGGNACACCAGUGGCGAAAGCGGCUCUCUGGUCUGUCACUGACGCUGAGGCUCGAAAGCGUGGGUAGCGAACAGGAUUAGAUACCCUGGUAGUCCACGCCGUAAACGAUGAGUGCUAGGUGUUAGGCCCUUUCCGGGGCUUAGUGCCGGAGCUAACGCAAUAGGCACUCCGCCUGGGGAGUACGACCGCAAGGUUGAAACUCAAAGGAAUUGACGGGGGCCCGCACAAGCGGUGGAGCAUGUGGUUUAAUUCGAAGCAACGCGAAGAACCUUACCAGGUCUUGACAUCCCGAUGCUAUUCUUAGAGAUAGGAAGUUACUUCGGUACAUCGGAGACAGGUGGUGCAUGGUUGUCGUCAGCUCGUGUCGUGAGAUGUUGGGUUAAGUCCCGCAACGAGCGCAACCCUUAUUGUUAGUUGCCAUCAUUAAGUUGGGCACUCUAGCGAGACUGCCGGUAAUAAACCGGAGGAAGGUGGGGAUGACGUCAAAUCAUCAUGCCCCUUAUGACCUGGGCUACACACGUGCUACAAUGGUCGGUACAACGAGUUGCGAGCCGGUGACGGCAAGCUAAUCUCUGAAAGCCGAUCUCAGUUCGGAUUGGAGGCUGCAACUCGCCUCCAUGAAGUCGGAAUCGCUAGUAAUCGCGGAUCAGCACGCCGCGGUGAAUACGUUCCCGGGCCUUGUACACACCGCCCGUCACACCACGAGAGUUUGUAACACCCGAAGUCGGUGAGGUANCCUUUUAGGGGCCAG
This 923-nucleotide ribosomal RNA is filed under the name uncultured bacterium. RNAcentral's name for it is "bacterial SSU rRNA". It matches the Rfam family "Bacterial small subunit ribosomal RNA", at positions 528 to 1452 of the family's 1533-position model. The record is from RNAcentral.